RNAcentral lists this ribosomal RNA (308 nucleotides) under Salmonella enterica. RNAcentral describes it as "partial 23S ribosomal RNA". It matches the Rfam family "Bacterial large subunit ribosomal RNA", at positions 1 to 313 of the family's 2925-position model. Lineage: Bacteria; Pseudomonadati; Pseudomonadota; Gammaproteobacteria; Enterobacterales; Enterobacteriaceae. The record is from RNAcentral.
GGUUAAGCGACUAAGCGUACACGGUGGAUGCCCUGGCAGUCAGAGGCGAUGAAGGACGUGCUAAUCUGCGAUAAGCGCCGGUAAGGUGAUAUGAACCGUUAUAACCGGCGAUUUCCGAAUGGGGAAACCCAGUGUGACUCGUCACACUAUCAUUAACUGAAUCCAUAGGUUAAUGAGGCGAACCGGGGGAACUGAAACAUCUAAGUACCCCGAGGAAAAGAAAUCAACCGAGAUUCCCCCAGUAGCGGCGAGCGAACGGGGAGGAGCCCAGAGCCUGAAUCAGCAUGUGUGUUAGUGGAAGCGUCUGG